This 253-nucleotide ribosomal RNA is filed under the name uncultured bacterium. RNAcentral describes it as "partial 16S ribosomal RNA". It matches the Rfam family "Bacterial small subunit ribosomal RNA", at positions 524 to 776 of the family's 1533-position model. The record is from RNAcentral.
UACGGAGGAUCCAAGCGUUAUCCGGAAUCAUUGGGUUUAAAGGGUCCGUAGGCGGUUUAAUAAGUCAGUGGUGAAAUCUGGUCGCUCAACGAUCAAACGGCCAUUGAUACUGUUAGACUUGAAUUAUUGUGAAGUAACUAGAAUAUGUAGUGUAGCGGUGAAAUGCUUAGAUAUUACAUGGAAUACCAAUUGCGAAGGCAGGUUACUAACAAUAUAUUGACGCUGAUGGACGAAAGCGUGGGGAGCGAACAGG